Molecule: ribosomal RNA, 618 nt
Filed under: uncultured bacterium
Lineage: Bacteria
Description: bacterial SSU rRNA
Rfam family: Bacterial small subunit ribosomal RNA
Source: RNAcentral
AGAGUUUGAUCAUGGCUCAGAACGAACGCUGGCGGCGCGUUUUAAGCAUGCAAGUCGAACGGUAGGGAAGUGCUUGCACUUCCUGAGAGUGGCGGACGGGUGAGUAACACGUAGAUAAUCUGCCUUUGGAUUGGGGAUAGCAUAUGGAAACAUGUGGUAAUACCGAAUAAGCUCCUGGGAACACAAGUUUCCUUGAGGAAAGGUGCUUAGGCAUCGUCCGAAGAUGAGUCUGCGGUUCAUUAGCUAGUUGGUGGGGUAAAGGCCUACCAAGGCAACGAUGAAUAGCCGGCCUGAGAGGGUGGACGGCCACACUGGGACUGAGACACGGCCCAGACUCCUACGGGAGGCAGCAGCUAAGAAUCUUCCGCAAUGGGGGAAACCCUGACGGAGCGACGCCGCGUGAACGAUGAAGGCGGAAACGUUGUAAAGUUCUUUUCUUGGGGAGGAAUAAGUCUGGUAGGUAAUGACCGGAUGAUGACGUUAACCAAGGAAUAAGCCCCGGCUAAUUACGUGCCAGCAGCCGCGGUAACACGUAAGGGGCAAGCGUUGUUCGGAAUUAUUGGGCGUAAAGGGCGCGUAGGCGGUUUUACAAGUCUGGUGUGAAAUAUCUCAGCUUAA